This 67-nucleotide microRNA precursor is filed under the name Bombyx mori (domestic silkworm). RNAcentral describes it as "mir-2774 microRNA precursor family". It matches the Rfam family "mir-2774 microRNA precursor family". The record is from Rfam by way of RNAcentral. Lineage: Eukaryota; Metazoa; Arthropoda; Insecta; Lepidoptera; Bombycidae.
ACAACAUUCGGACCGUCGGUCUACCGAGUAAUAUCACCCGCUCGGUGGAAGAUCUUCCCUCUGUCGU